CUCCCUCCAAAUACACAAAUAACGUCGCAUUUAUCUAUAGCCGUAAACAAUUAUAAUUACAGUACAUUAUAAGAAUAAAUCAAUUAAUGAAAAUUCUAAAAUCAGUCUUCCAAAGAAACCAACUUCCUCCUUUUCAUAGCUCCUGAAUUUCUAUUAGCACUCCAUACGGAGAUGGUGGUCUUCAUAUAUCAUCCAAUGAAUGUUGAAUGUUG
This 212-nucleotide long non-coding RNA is filed under the name Solanum tuberosum (potato). RNAcentral's name for it is "long non-coding RNA (STUB_LNC003570)". The record is from RNAcentral. Lineage: Eukaryota; Viridiplantae; Streptophyta; Magnoliopsida; Solanales; Solanaceae.